This 576-nucleotide ribosomal RNA is filed under the name uncultured bacterium. RNAcentral's name for it is "partial 16S ribosomal RNA". It matches the Rfam family "Bacterial small subunit ribosomal RNA", at positions 355 to 920 of the family's 1533-position model. The record is from RNAcentral.
UGGGGAAUAUUGCACAAUGGGCGCAAGCCUGAUGCAGCCAUGCCGCGUGUGUGAAGAAGGCCUUCGGGUUGUAAAGCACUUUCAGCGAGGAGGAAGGUGGUGAGCUUAAUACGCUCAUCAAUUGACGUUACUCGCAGAAGAAGCACCGGCUAACUCCGUGCCAGCAGCCGCGGUAAUACGGAGGGUGCAAGCGUUAAUCGGAAUUACUGGGCGUAAAGCGCACGCAGGCGGUUUGUUAAGUCAGAUGUGAAAUCCCCGGGCUCAACCUGGGAACUGCAUUUGAAACUGGCAAGCUAGAGUCUCGUAGAGGGGGGUAGAAUUCCAGGUGUAGCGGUGAAAUGCGUAGAGAUCUGGAGGAAUACCGGUGGCGAAGGCGGCCCCCCUGGACGAAGACUGACGCUCAGGUGCGAAAGCGUGGGGCAGCAAACAGGAUUAGAUACCCUGGUAGUCCAGCGCUGUAAACGAUGUCGAUUUGGAGGUUGUGCCCUUGAGGCGUGGCUUCCGGAGCUAACGCGUUAAAUCGACCGCCUGGGGAGUACGGCCGCAAGGUUAAAACUUAAAUGAAUUGACGGGGUC